RNAcentral lists this long non-coding RNA (4538 nucleotides) under Daucus carota (carrot). RNAcentral's name for it is "long non-coding RNA (DCAR_LNC001117)". Lineage: Eukaryota; Viridiplantae; Streptophyta; Magnoliopsida; Apiales; Apiaceae. The record is from RNAcentral.
CCUUGGAUACUAAACGAUCCGUGAGAGCCCAGUAGACGAUGUAAAACAGGCCAUGAGCGGUGAAAAGGAACAUGGUCAUGUGUCCAAGCCAGAUAUGAUACUUGAUGCUGGCCUCUGAGGUCAGUCCCAGAAGGGGCAACACUGAUGAAGUUCGCGUAACCGGGAAGAAUAGAAAUAACAGACAUAUGUUGCCAAUAAUCCCCAGAGUAAAGCCUAUUAUGCUCAGUGUAGACUUCCAUCUGUCAUAACAUUACAUGCAAGUAACACAUCUUGUAACAGGAGAUAUUUACUAGUAAAAACCAACAAUCUCGAAUAAAUACCUCUUCUCAUUCUCUGAUUCUAUGAAAAAGGCCAUGUGCUGGAAGAAGUAAUGCAUGUAAGCGGAGAAGGUCCAGACUAGGAGGGCAAUGAACAUCACCAAAAUAGAGAUCUCUGUCCACGAAACGAUCCCGAGCCAUUUCAUAAUCACCGGCCUCUUCCAUGAACUCAAUAUCGACUUGCUGCAAAAACCACUUGGUAAAAAGUAAAAACACUUCUGCAAUGUCAUAUGUGUGUGCAUAGAGCCAGAGGAUCAGAAAAAAUACCUUUUUAUCUCGCGACUUUCAGCACCAUCUUUGUAUUUGAUUCCCAAAUGAAGAUACAGAGAGCCUAAAACAGAGAUAACCAACAUGGGAAAUGUGUCCAUAAGAAUUGUUGUACCUGCAAAAUCAUGGGGAAGAGUUAGAUACUCGAAUUACAGGGAGUUGAUGAAAUUAAGUUGAAAACUACUAAACCUUGUGCUCCAAAGAAACUGGAAUUUGUAUGAGCUCGAAUUUUGGGCUCAAAAUGUGAUAUAUAAGUGGAGCUUGGCUUCAUGAUUAGCAUGAAGAUAUACCCAACAAAGAUGAUUAUUACUAGUCCUAAUAUAGAUGUUCGAAGCACUCUUAUUUUGCCAUUUGAACUAGAAACAGAAGCUACCGGUUUCUCCUCCAUGAGACCUCUUUCUCUGCCUACUAGCUCUAGUACUCUGUAUGAGUGUCUGAAAUUUUAUGAAAUACUGUAUUUAUUUAACGCAGAUGUGAAAUAGAUUCAUAAAUUUUCGAAAAUUAACUAUUUUAUGUAUAAAAACAAGUAUUUAUUUUUAGAAAAAACAAGUAUAUUAUUGUAAGAGGUAUGCGAAUACAAAAUUUGGACAAUAGACUAAUUGAGUCUGUUGAGAGACACGGUUUUUGCUAUGUAAUAAUUGUCAUCUUGUUAGUGACGAUGAAUAUCUUAGAUAAAAUUUUAUUAAUGAAAAAAAGGGAAGAUAUUUAUUUUAUAUUCUUUUCAUAUUUUUAUUAUACGCGGUUUUCAUUUUGACACGUAGAUGGCUUGAUCAUAUAGAAGCUAUUUUGAUUAAUUUCCUUUUGAUAAAUUAAAUUUGAAUUAUAAUUUCAUUUAAAAAUUAAUAUUUUUUUCAACGAAAAAGCGAUGAAUUUAAUAAAUAAUGUGACAUAAGUCAAAACAUCAUGCAUUCAAAAAAAUGAAUUAUCUAUCCAAGUCAUUUUAUUUUUUUGUCCAAGUCGCUCUUGUUUCAAAAAGAGUAUUAGAGCUUUGAAGUCCUUCCGAUUGAUUAAUCAAAAAGUAGAAUAACAAUAUGAUUCAGUUGGGCAUUGAGAUGAGAGGGGGAGACAUUAUUACUAUACAGGAAAACGCUAACUUUAACUAUAACAGUUAACGAUGAUGGUGGAUCACCAACUAAAACUUAUGGAUUCAAAAUGUAAAUUUUUUGCCAAGCUUGAUGAACAUAUGUUUGCCACUUGGUGGCGCAUACUCUUCGGACCACAUACCAGAACACCAACGCUUGCUUCUUCAUGUUCCAUUAAAAUUCCUGCAACAGACUCAAAAUUUUAUCAUCAAACCUAACCAAAUCUGAAAUACCAUGUACUCUGUCCGUCCUUUUCAAUUGUUUACACUGGGGAAUGGGGCUAAGGAAGCACUCUAAUUCUCUCAUAAAUUAUAACUUGAUAAAUUAUUUUUAACUUUUUUUUUUUUUUGAAUAAAAGUUUAGUGUUUAAAUUUCCACAAAAAAAAUUGAAAAUAAGUUAUGAAACUAUAUAUUUUACAGCGUUAAAAUGCGUGUCAAAAAAACUGUAAAGAAAUUAGAGGGACGAGAGUAUAUGUAAGAUAGCCAAAUGCGCUCUGAUAAGCUCAGGGAAUGUGAAAAUAACUUACCCCUAAGAUCAGGCCUUCGACCAUAAUGCACAUUCUUAGUUUCCAACAGGGACUGGUAAGGAAGACUUUCGAGUUCUCUAUCAAUAGGAGUGUCAACCCAUGAAUUAUGCUUUAAUGGUGACAAUUCUAUAACCUUCUUAACCUGGUUGGUUUUUAUGGAACUUUGUUUCUUGUUCCAGAGAAAAGCUGCAGAGGCUGUCACGAGUAUAGAUAUGCACAUGAGUAGCAUAUUCAACACAGACCUUAAUGAGUUUGAGAACACCUUAUUAGUAUUGUGAUCUAUAGGAUAUAUGUAGAAGCGCGUAAGAAAUCCCAUGGUAAGAAGGAAGAUUAUAAACGAUGAUGAUGUUAUGACUCCGAGCCAUAACCAACUGUAUUGGCCUAAAGUUGUGGAUAUUGGUGCAUCAAGGGUGUUUGACUUGAACCAUAUUGUUUGCAGGGGUUUUGGGCUUUCUGUAGGUGGUUCCAUCUCUCGGGUCACGUAUGCCUCUACCUGUAGUUCCAGAUUAGAAUAUCUGGAUGAGGCAUUUGAAAUUGGAAGAAUGAGGUUUAGCAUAGUGAGCUCUGAGGAAUUCUUGAAUGCACUAAUGAGGAGAAUGCGAGGAGGUCUGCAUUUUUUAGUUGAGUUCAUGAAGAGUAGUUCAUGGAUUAUAGAAAUGAAUGGCGCUAUGCCACUGCCUCCAGUAACCAUAAUUAGUUUAUCAUGCCUGCAAUUAUCAUGACUAAUCAAUCACAAAGUAUAAUUUGAUUUCAUAACAUUAUAUAUACUUUGGUACCUCAGAAAGUGAGUUGAAGCAGGUCCAUAAGGGCCUUCAACAGAGAUUUGAAGAUGCUCAAUGGGAAAUGGUGAAGCAAGCUUCUGGUAAAGCUUCCGAGUCCAACUUCCUUCACUUUUAAUAAUAACACUAAGAAUCUCAGGUUCCAAAUGACUGCUGGAACUAAUUGUAUAAGGAUGCCACUGCAGCUUGGAAAUGCUGGGAACAUUAAUAAAUAUGAUGCUUGUUGGAGUGUAACUCAAUCCUGGAAGACAAAAACAUACAUCACGUAAAAACAUUUCAAGUAAAAUUCUAAAAUUUGGGCAAAUGGUUGAGGAGUCACCUUGAUCUUUGGAGAAGUUGAGCUCAACAGUCUCACAAGGCAGGACGCGAGCGGAGACUAACUGGGCACAUUGUCUGGAUUGUAGGAACCUCAAGAAACGAUCAACCAUGAAGAGAUAGAAACCGGGAAGCAUAUAGCAAAAAUAGUUGAAGCCAAGAUGAAAAAUGAAGAAGACAAUGAAUAAAAUGUAGAGGUAGUGUGUGUAAAAGAAGAGCUCAAACAUUUUUCGCCUAAUGCGAGGAAAUGUUGUCACCCAUAGCGCUAAUCCAAACAACAAAGAAAUCUCCCCAGCCACAUUUGAUACAUGUGUUUUUUUCCAUUCCAGAAUCUGCAUUCAAGCCUAAUCAAUGAGUAAAAAACCUAUGCAUGGUUUAAGUAGUGUCAUUAUCUUACUCAAAGAAACAACCAUUCUAGCUAUUUCAUAUUACCAAGUUAAAAUGGCUUUGAAUAAAGGUAUCUAAUUAAAGAUAAAAAAAAUUGUAAUAUUAAAUUUUUAGGGAUCUUUCAGAUUGAAAGCCUUUUGAGGGUGGUGGAGUAUUAUUCUACGCAACUUUGCAAUACAAGUCAAGAGAUAACCUCUGUAGUGAGAAAUGAGAAUACAAGAGUUAGAGUGUUGGGCCAAUUUUAACUGAGAAAUGCACUUGUCAGAUAUGACGCCAUGAUAUAACAUUUGCCUUAUCUUUUCAUUUCGUCCAAGCAUAAAUAAGUGGAAAGUGCAGAGUAAUGCUGAGGAGAAAAAAACAACAAUAUGUAUUCAAAGUUGUGAUUAACAUUUUCAAACACAUCACAAUCUACCUUUGUAAAUUUGGCAGUGCUCCAAACUUGACAGACCAUAUCAAUCAAACUUACAGUCUUAACUAACAUUCGUUUAACCGCAAAAUGUUGCCACUCAUCUCAUAGUACUAGAGUAAUCAAGUGUUUUACGAUAACUUCUUAUUCCAUUCUUUGAUUUGAGCUUCACAAAGUGAUAUGGGACGAGACAUUUAAUUUUGGCCGAUUGAAUAUUUACCUUUGAUGAUAAACGAUUUGUGACAGCCCAGUAGACGAUAUAACACAGGCCGUGAGCUGUAAAAAGGAACAUGGUUAUAUGUCCAAGCCAAAUAUGAUACUUGAUGCUGGCCUCUGAGGUCAAACCAAGGAGAGGCAACACCGAUGAAGUUCGUGUCACCGGAAAGAAGAGAAAGGUAAGACAUAUGUUGCCAACAAUUCCUAGAGUUAGACCUAUAAUGCUCAGUUUAGCUUCCCAC